RNAcentral lists this ribosomal RNA (877 nucleotides) under uncultured Bacteroidota bacterium. Its description in RNAcentral is "bacterial SSU rRNA". It matches the Rfam family "Bacterial small subunit ribosomal RNA", at positions 46 to 932 of the family's 1533-position model. Lineage: Bacteria; Pseudomonadati; Bacteroidota. The record is from RNAcentral.
GCCUAAUACAUGCAAGUUCGAACGGUGGUAGCAAUACCAUAGUGGCGCACGGGUGCGUAACGCGUAACCAACCUGCCCCGAUCUGGGGGAUAGCCCGCCGAAAGGCGGAUUAAUACCGCAUAACCCAACAAGGUGGCAUCACCUAAUUGGUAAAGAUUUAUUGGAUCGGGAUGGGGUUGCGUGACAUUAGCUAGUUGGCGGGGUAACGGCCCACCAAGGCGACGAUGUCUAGGGGACCUGAGAGGGUGAUCCCCCACACUGGCACUGAGAUACGGGCCAGACUCCUACGGGAGGCAGCAGUAGGGAAUAUUGGGCAAUGGACGAGAGUCUGACCCAGCCAUGCCGCGUGCCGGAUGAAGGCCUUCUGGGUUGUAAACGGCUUUUCUCAGGGAAGAAAAAGGGGAUGCGUCCUCAACUGACGGUACCUGAGGAAUAAGCACCGGCUAACUCCGUGCCAGCAGCCGCGGUAAUACGGAGGGUGCAAGCGUUGUCCGGAUUUAUUGGGUUUAAAGGGUGCGUAGGCGGCUUGUUAAGUCCGGGGUGAAAGCCCACUGCUCAACAGUGGAACUGCCCUGGAUACUGGCAAGCUUGAGUCCAGACGAGGUUGGCGGAAUGGAUGGUGUAGCGGUGAAAUGCAUAGAUACCAUCCAGAACCCCGAUUGCGAAGGCAGCUGACUAGGCUGGUACUGACGCUGAGGCACGAAAGCGUGGGGAGCGAACAGGAUUAGAUACCCUGGUAGUCCACGCCGUAAACGAUGGAUACUCGCUGGUGGCGAUAGAUAGUCACUGGCUUAGCGAAAGCGGUAAGUAUCCCACCUGGGGAGUACGCUCGCAAGAGUGAAACUCAAGGGAAUUGACGGGGGCCCCGCACAAGUGG